GUAGGGAAUAUUGGACAAUGGGCGAAAGCCUGAUCCAGCAAUGCCGCGUGAGUGAAGAAGGCCUUAGGGUUGUAAAGCUCUUUCGGCGGGGAAGAUGAUGACGGUACCCGCAGAAGAAGCCCCGGCUAACUUCGUGCCAGCAGCCGCGGUAAUACGAAGGGGGCUAGCGUUGUUCGGAAUCACUGGGCGUAAAGGGCGCGUAGGCGGCUUGGCAAGUCAGGUGUGAAAGGCCUGGGCUCAACCCUGGAACUGCACUUGAGACUGCCUCGCUUGAGUCCGGGAGAGGAUGGCGGAAUUCCCAGUGUAGAGGUGAAAUUCGUAGAUAUUGGGAAGAACACCGGUGGCGAAGGCGGCCAUCUGGACCGGUACUGACGCUGAGGCGCGAAAGCGUGGGGAGCAAA
This 401-nucleotide ribosomal RNA is filed under the name uncultured bacterium. RNAcentral describes it as "bacterial SSU rRNA". It matches the Rfam family "Bacterial small subunit ribosomal RNA", at positions 354 to 772 of the family's 1533-position model. The record is from RNAcentral.